GACGGGGCCGCACAAGCGGUGGAGCACGUGGUUUAAUUCGAUGCAAACCGUAAGAACCUUUACCAAGGUUUGACAUGCAAGUGUAGUGAUCUGAAAGUGAACGACCUUCGGGAGCUUGCACAGGUGCUGCAUGGCUGUCGUCAGCUCGUGUCGUGAGAUGUUCGGUUAAGUCCGCUAACGAGCGCAGCCCUCACUGUGUGUUAUACGUGUCACACGGGGACUGCCGGUUUUAAGCCGGAGGAAGGCGAGGAUGAAGUCAAGUCAGCAUGGCCUUUAUAUCUUGGGCUACACACACGCUACAAUGGUCUGUACAACAGGUUGCCAAGCCGCGAGGCGGAGCCAAUCCUAAAAGCAGGCCUCAGUUCAGAUUGUAGGCUGCAACCCGCCUGCAUGAAGAUGGAGUUGCUAGUAACCGCAGGUCAGCUAUACUGCGGUGAAUACGUUCCCGGGUCUU
This 454-nucleotide ribosomal RNA is filed under the name uncultured Anaerolineaceae bacterium. RNAcentral describes it as "bacterial SSU rRNA". It matches the Rfam family "Bacterial small subunit ribosomal RNA", at positions 912 to 1382 of the family's 1533-position model. Lineage: Bacteria; Bacillati; Chloroflexota; Anaerolineae; Anaerolineales; Anaerolineaceae. The record is from RNAcentral.